GAUGAACGCUGGCGGCGUGCCUAAUACAUGCAAGUCGAGCGAACGGACGAGAAGCUUGCUUUUCUGAUGUUAGCGGCGGACGGGUGAGUAACACGUGGAUAACCUACCUAUAAGACUGGGAUAACUUCGGGAAACCGGAGCUAAUACCGGAUAAUAUUUUGAACCGCAUGGUUCAAAAGUGAAAGACGGUCUUGCUGUCACUUAUAGAUGGAUCCGCGCUGCAUUAGCUAGUUGGUAAGGUAACGGCUUACCAAGGCAACGAUGCACAGCCGACCUGAGAGGGUGAUCGGCCACACUGGAACUGAGACACGGUCCAGACUCCUACGGGAGGCAGCAGUAGGGAAUCUUCCGCAAUGGGCGAAAGCCUGACGGAGCAACGCCGCGUGAGUGAUGAAGGUCUUCGGAUCGUAAAACUCUGUUAUUAGGGAAGAACAUAUGUGUAAGUAACUGUGCACAUCUUGACGGUACCUAAUCAGAAAGCCACGGCUAACUACGUG
RNAcentral lists this ribosomal RNA (497 nucleotides) under uncultured bacterium. RNAcentral's name for it is "partial 16S ribosomal RNA". It matches the Rfam family "Bacterial small subunit ribosomal RNA", at positions 28 to 507 of the family's 1533-position model. The record is from RNAcentral.